Molecule: non-coding RNA, 58 nt
Organism: Cricetulus griseus (Chinese hamster)
Lineage: Eukaryota; Metazoa; Chordata; Mammalia; Rodentia; Cricetidae
Source: Rfam
UGGCUCAGUGGUUAAGAGCACUGGCUGUUCUUCCAGAAGACCUGGGUUCAAUUCCCAG